UGCGAACGCUGGCGGCUGGCCUAACACAUGCAAGUCGAACGGACCCUUCGGGGUUAGUGGCGGACGGGUGAGUAACACGUGGGAACGUGCCUUUAGGUUCGGAAUAGCUCCUGGAAACGGGUGGUAAUGCCGAAUGUGCCCUUCGGGGGAAAGAUUUAUCGCCUUUAGAGCGGCCCGCGUCUGAUUAGCUUGUUGGUGGGGUAAUGGCCCACCAAGGCUACGAUCAGUAGCUGGUCUGAGAGGAUGACCAGCCACAUUGGGACUGAGACACGGCCCAAACUCCUACGGGAGGCAGCAGUGGGGAAUCUUGCGCAAUGGGCGAAAGCCUGACGCAGCCAUGCCGCGUGUAUGAUGAAGGUCUUAGGAUUGUAAAAUACUUUCACCGGUGAAGAUAAUGACUGUAGCCGGAGAAGAAGCCCCGGCUAACUUCGUGCCAGCAGCCGCGGUAAUACGAAGGGGGCUAGCGUUGCUCGGAAUUACUGGGCGUAAAGGGAGCGUAGGCGGACAUUUAAGUC
This 515-nucleotide ribosomal RNA is filed under the name uncultured bacterium. Its description in RNAcentral is "bacterial SSU rRNA". It matches the Rfam family "Bacterial small subunit ribosomal RNA", at positions 28 to 589 of the family's 1533-position model. The record is from RNAcentral.